GGUCCGCUUCCCGCAGUCGGACCCACGUGGCCACGUCCCUGCCACCACGCUUGGAUCUGGCCUGGUGCCGGACCCUGGGGGGGUUCUGCAAAGCCCGGUCCUGUGCCUGCUACGCUGGAGAGAGCUCUUGGGGCGGGAGGCGCGUGUCAGGAUGCACCUGCAGGGCUGGAGGUAACCGAAGCCUGCCUCAGCUACAGUUGCCAGCUGCCUUGCUACUUUGUUUCCUCCUCGCAACCCCACUGUUUCCCCUUCUUCUUGAGGAAUCGGGGGAAGGCCUCGUUGACUGCUCUGGAGAGCCGGCGUCGUGCGCCAGGUGCUGCGGCUGCAGCUCGCCGUCCGGAGUGGCUGUGGCCGCCCCGUUGGCCUUCGUCCACGGCCGGACCCCCGCGUGAGUCGGAGACCGGCUCCGCUGGUCCUGGGAACGAGCCUUUUGAACGGUGGAUCCUCCGAGGCGCCUUGCAAGAUGGAUUUCCCGGGAACUUGGCAUCUUGGCGCGAUCAGACUUCAGCCUCCAGGUGGAAAGGCAGAUGCCCUCGAGGGGUCGAUCUGGUCCUGAGAAAGACAGCGAGCGCGUCUGCAGCGUGUGUGUGUGUGUGUGUGUGUGUGUGUGUGUGUGGGGGGACACCAAGGCAUUUUGGAGCGCGGAGAAAGGCUUCUGGGGAGAAGCUGGCACUUGUGAGCAACUGCCCAGAGCCCGCUUCCCACUGUCUGGAAACUGCCCAGACUUUGAGGGGCAAUCGGAAUGCAGCUCCGGCGGUCACCGCUCUCCUGGGUGUGUGCGCUUCCUUCCCCCAAGGGACGCGGACCCCAGUCAUGCCUCCUUUUCGGAAUCCUGGGGACACGGUGGGCAGCGUGAUGGACUGCGCGCCAGAUUCCAGAAAUCGGAGACGUGGGGCUGCUGCUAACCCCAGAAUUCGGGAGGCAGAUGGGAGAGCUGACUGGCAAAGGCCCUUUGGUGAAUGUCAUCUUGAUUGCAGUGUGGCGAGAGACAAGGAGCUAGUAUUCCUGGGGUUUUGUGUCUGUGAGGUCUCGGUGCCCAACAAGUAG
Molecule: long non-coding RNA, 1047 nt
Filed under: Monodelphis domestica (gray short-tailed opossum)
Lineage: Eukaryota; Metazoa; Chordata; Mammalia; Didelphimorphia; Didelphidae
Description: lncRNA (ENSMODG00000037165.1)
Source: RNAcentral